This 506-nucleotide ribosomal RNA is filed under the name uncultured bacterium. Its description in RNAcentral is "partial 16S ribosomal RNA". It matches the Rfam family "Bacterial small subunit ribosomal RNA", at positions 28 to 507 of the family's 1533-position model. The record is from RNAcentral.
GACGAACGCUGGCGGCGUGCUUAACACAUGCAAGUCGAACGGUGAAGGGACUGGUUUUGCUGGUCCUGGAUGAGUGGCGAACGGGUGAGUAACACGUGAGUAACCUGCCCCCUUCUUCUGGAUAACCGCAUGAAAGUGUGGCUAAUACGGGAUAUUCUGGGUCUGUCGCAUGGUGGGCCUGGGAAAGAUUGCGCCUUUUUUGGUGUUUUUGGUGGGGGAUGGGCUCGCGGCCUAUCAGCUUGUUGGUGGGGUGAUGGCCUACCAAGGCGGUGACGGGUAGCCGGCCUGAGAGGGUGGACGGUCACACUGGGACUGAGACACGGCCCAGACUCCUACGGGAGGCAGCAGUGGGGAAUAUUGCACAAGGGGCGCAAGCCUGAUGCAGCGACGCCGCGUGAGGGAUGGAGGCCUUCGGGUUGUGAACCUCUUUCGCCAGUGAAGCAGGCCUGCCUCUUUUUGUGGGUGGGUUGACGGUAGCUGGAUAAGAAGCGCCGGCUAACUACGUG